UAGUUAAUCCUAAAUCACUAUCAUGUCAUUGUAGUACUGAAGGUUGUCAAUCCAAAUGGGUGUGAUGCUAGCAAUCAAGAUGCAAUCAGAGUUCACAUAGUCAAGCCAAGCAA
This 113-nucleotide small RNA is filed under the name Arabidopsis thaliana (thale cress). Its description in RNAcentral is "ATSL091950". The record is from RNAcentral. Lineage: Eukaryota; Viridiplantae; Streptophyta; Magnoliopsida; Brassicales; Brassicaceae.